Molecule: long non-coding RNA, 741 nt
Organism: Nomascus leucogenys (northern white-cheeked gibbon)
Lineage: Eukaryota; Metazoa; Chordata; Mammalia; Primates; Hylobatidae
Exons: 3
Source: RefSeq, a predicted model, not a curated record
UCAUAUUAGGAAUCCCAUCAAUGAUUGGAUAAGCUAUUCCCAACUCUUCAUUAAUCAAUUCAUUUGUUGAUGCUUCAUAUCUGAGCGGCUUCUUGGAGAGCGGGCACACCAGGAACUCCAGCAGCGCCGGAUCGAAGGCGCGGGGCGGCUCCUCAGUCUUCUUGCCCGGGUCGGCCAGAGGCCGCGACCCCGACGCGUGCAGGCACCUACGGGCGACCGCGGACGGCGGCGCGCGCGUUCCCCGCAGCGCUGAGGCGAGCCUGCAGCGUGCUUCACUCAGCAUGGUCUGGCAGCCGGAGACCAGGCCUCACUGCGCCCUCGCCAGCCGUGGCCGAGCUCCUGGCUCCCCGUUCGUCCAGGCCAGCCGGCCAGGCCCCGCCCCCUGGUGCUCUGGGAAACACUGCCGGGGAGUAGGCGGAGCGGGCGCUUUGGUUCCGAGGGUGCUCCUGCUCCGACUCCUUUUCCCACGGGCGUCAUUUACAGUCUGUAGGACAGCCCCAGGGCAGAGGCCUCUGUUUUUCCAUGUCCGAAGACUCAAAGAUUCUUGUUAGUCAUCCAUUUUUUCCCUCCGUUCUGCUGAAUAUCAACCUGAACUUUUUUUUGCAUCACUGGGCAUUAUCAUUUCACACUUUGAGUUCCUGGAGCUGGAAGUACAGAAUCCAAAAAUAUGUUUAUAUUUUCAAAUUUCUCUUCCAGGCCAAUGUAAAAAUAAACUGAGAAAUGUUUAUGUGUUCAUCGUAA